CGUUAUGUCCUCACUGCGUACCUUCAACUUUGGAGAAUCCAGACAGAGAAGAAGAACCGCGUACUGAGGACAUGCGAGGGAGGAGAUGAUCUGCAGCAUCCUGGUGAUCUUCAUCCUGACCUCCUGUGUCUGUGCAGGGUCAUUUGUAGUGAAUGUGACACAGAGCUGGUAUCAUGCAGAGGAGAAGCACAACAUCUCACUGGAAUGGAUGUUCCCCACCAGCACGGACCACUCCACCAACUCCCUCUAUGUCUCCUGUGAGAUGUUAGCUGAUGAGAUACCCUAUGUCCUGUUUAGUCUAUAUGAAGGUGUGGAGAUCCCAGAGUAUCAGGAUCAACGCUUUGCAGGACGAGUCCAGUGGGACAAAGACGUCCUCAGAGAAGGACGACUCAGACUUCACAUCUCCAGACUCCAGACUAAUGACUCUGGGCUGUACUGGUGUCAAGUGGACACAAGUUAUGGGAAGAACUAUAAGGAAUGUCACCUCAAUGUCACUGCAGUGAAGGAUCGACCUGAACCUGAGAGAACCAGUGACACCAGUCUGAGAGGAAGGAUCGUUCUCUACUGGGUACUGGUACUGGGACUAGCAGCAGCUCUACUGGUUGUUUCUUUAUUUUUUAUCUGCAUUGAAAAGAAAAGAUUUAUGAACAGCACCAAAAAAAAUACAUCAUUGUUAAAUUCAUCUAAGUGUUUGCACACAAAGUGUCUGACUUCUGACAUCAGAGUAUAAAUGUAUGUUGAUGACAUCUACUGUGUACAUUCAAAUUAACCGAUUUAUAUCUGUAAAUAAAUUAUUUCAUUACAUCACUUUUUCGUGUAAAUUGUCUUUUUUUCUUUCC
This is an RNA transcript of Pungitius pungitius (ninespine stickleback), 839 nucleotides long. RefSeq lists it as uncharacterized. The record is from RefSeq and is a predicted model, not a curated record. The transcript has 4 exons. Lineage: Eukaryota; Metazoa; Chordata; Actinopteri; Perciformes; Gasterosteidae.